AACAAGGCGUACCUGCGGACCUGCGGAAGGAUCAUUACCGAGUUUACAACUCCCAAACCCCUGUGAACAUACCUAUACGUUGCCUCGGCGGAUCAGCCCGCGCCCCGUAAAACGGGACGGCCCGCCCGAGGACCCCUAAACUCUGUUUUUAGUGGAACUUCUGAGUAAAACAAACAAAUAAAUCAAAACUUUUAACAACGGAUCU
This 205-nucleotide unclassified non-coding RNA is filed under the name soil metagenome. Its description in RNAcentral is "partial contains 5.8S ribosomal RNA, internal transcribed spacer 2, and large subunit ribosomal RNA". The record is from RNAcentral.